AGAGUUUGAUCAUGGCUCAGGACGAACGCUGGCGGUGUGCUUCACACAUGCAAGUCGAACGGGGUAGCAAUACCCAGUGGCGGACGGGUGAGUAACGCGUAGGAAUCUGCCUUGAGAUGGGGGAUAACAGUCCGAAAGGACUGCUAAUACCCCAUAUGUAUGUAUCUCGACAGAGGUGUAUAUGAAAGGAGUAAUCCGUCUUAAGAUGAGCCUGCGUCCGAUUAGCUAGUUGGUAGGGUAAAAGCCUACCAAGGCGACGAUCGGUAGCUGGUCUGAGAGGAUGAUCAGCCACAAUGGGACUGAGACACGGCCCAUACUCCUACGGGAGGCAGCAGUGGGGAAUUUUGUGCAAUGGGCGAAAGCCUGACACAGCGACACCGCGUGAGCGAAGAAGCCCUUUGGGGUGUAAAGCUCUGUCGGCUGGAACGAAAAAAAUGACGGUACCAGCAAAGGAAGCAUCGGCUAACUACGUGCCAGCAGCCGCGGUAAGACGUAGGAUGCGAGCGUUGUCCGGAUUUAUUGGGCGUAAAGAGUUCGUAGGCGGUUCGUUAAGUCUGAUGUUAAAGAUCGGGGCUCAACCCCGGGAGUGCAUUGGAUACUGGCGGACUGGAGUGCGGUAGAGGUUAGUGGAAUUCCUGGUGUAGCGGUGAAAUGCGUAGAUAUCAGGAAGAACACCAGUGGCGUAGGCGACUAACUGGGCCGUAACUGACGCUGAGGAACGAAAGCCAGGGGAGCGAAUGGGAUUAGAUACCCUAGUAGUCC
This 762-nucleotide ribosomal RNA is filed under the name uncultured bacterium. RNAcentral describes it as "bacterial SSU rRNA". It matches the Rfam family "Bacterial small subunit ribosomal RNA", at positions 8 to 796 of the family's 1533-position model. The record is from RNAcentral.